GGGAUAGGGGUAGUUUCGUCCA
This 22-nucleotide non-coding RNA is filed under the name Arabidopsis thaliana (thale cress). Lineage: Eukaryota; Viridiplantae; Streptophyta; Magnoliopsida; Brassicales; Brassicaceae. The record is from RNAcentral.